GGAAGCGUAUCGUCACCGGUGUGGCGCCUGGACUUCAAAUCCAGUGGAAGGCUCAUCCCCUUCGGUAGGUUCGACCCCUAUACGCUUCCGCCA
This 93-nucleotide transfer RNA is filed under the name Desulfovibrio sp. Its description in RNAcentral is "tRNA-Sec". It matches the Rfam family "Selenocysteine transfer RNA". The record is from RNAcentral. RNAcentral also lists the same sequence under 1 other name. Lineage: Bacteria; Pseudomonadati; Thermodesulfobacteriota; Desulfovibrionia; Desulfovibrionales; Desulfovibrionaceae.